Molecule: ribosomal RNA, 338 nt
Filed under: uncultured eukaryote
Lineage: Eukaryota
Description: partial 18S ribosomal RNA
Rfam family: Eukaryotic small subunit ribosomal RNA
Source: RNAcentral
ACCCUUAGAUGUUCGGGGCCGCACGCGCGCUACACUGAUGGGGUCAGCGUGUUUGCACGUCCUGGUCCGGCAGGAUUGGGCAAUCCGUUGAACCUCCGUCGUGAUUGGGAUCGGAGCUUGUAAUUAUUCUCCGUGAACGAGGAAUUCCCAGUAAGCGCAAGUCAUCAGCUUGCGUUGAUUACGUCCCUGCCCUUUGUACACACCGCCCGUCGCUACUACCGAUUGGAUGGCUUAGUGAGACCCUCGGACCGAUAGGCUGUCGCUGCAGCAAUGUGGCGACUGGCCCGUCUGGGAAGAAGGUCAAACUUGACUGUCUAGAGGAAGUAAAAGUCGUAACA